This 253-nucleotide ribosomal RNA is filed under the name uncultured bacterium. RNAcentral's name for it is "partial 16S ribosomal RNA". It matches the Rfam family "Bacterial small subunit ribosomal RNA", at positions 524 to 776 of the family's 1533-position model. The record is from RNAcentral.
UACGUAGGGGGCAAGCGUUGUCCGGAAUCAUUGGGCGUAAAGCGCGCGUAGGCGGCCCGGUAAGUCCGUUGUGAAAGUCAAAGGCUCAACCUUUGAACGCCGAUGGAUACUGCCGGGCUAGAGUCCGGAAGAGGCGAGUGGAAUUCCGGGUGUAGCGGUGGAAUGCGCAGAUAUCAGGAAGAACACCCGUGGCGAAGGCGGCUCUCUGGGACGGUACUGACGCUGAGACGCGAAAGCGUGGGGAGCGAACAGG